Long non-coding RNA from Nicotiana attenuata, 115 nucleotides. RefSeq lists it as uncharacterized. NCBI's taxonomy places the organism in Eukaryota, Viridiplantae, Streptophyta, Magnoliopsida, Solanales, Solanaceae. The record is from RefSeq and is a predicted model, not a curated record. The transcript is spliced from 3 exons.
CUGGCCUCGUUUACCAAAUCAACAUCGCCCCUAAGAAAAUUGGAUUCAAUGAGAAGGUGUAUGUUGUUGAUCUGAAGAAAGGAGACUGUAAGGAAGGGCCAUACGAGGGUGGAAC